GUGCUUACUUUGGCAGAACAUAAACUAAAAUUGGAAUGAUACAGAGUAGAUUGGCACGACCCCUGCAUAAGGAUGCCAUGCAAAUUUCUGAAACAUUCCAUUAAAUA
Small nuclear RNA from Meriones unguiculatus (Mongolian gerbil), 107 nucleotides. The record is from Ensembl. Lineage: Eukaryota; Metazoa; Chordata; Mammalia; Rodentia; Muridae.